CCUACGGGUGGCAGCAGUGGGGAAUAUUGCACAAUGGGCGCAACCCUGAAGCAGUGAAGCCGCGUGAGUGAAGAAGUAAUUCGUUAUGUAAAGCUCCAUCAGCAGGGAAGAAAAUGACGGUACCUGAGUAAGAAGCCCCGGCUAACUACGUGCCAGCAGCCGCGGUAAUACGUAGGGAGCAAGCGUUAUACGGAUUUACUGGGUGUAAAGGGAGCGUAGGCGGGAGUGCAAGUCUGGAGUGAAAGGCGGGGGCUCAACCCCCGGAGUGCUGUGGAAACUGUACGGCUUGAGUGCAGGAGAGGUAAGUGGAAUGCGUGGUGUAGCGGUGAAAUGCGUAGAUAUUAGGAAGAACACCGGUGGCGAAGGCGGCUUACUGGACUGUAACUGACGUUGAGGCUCGAAAGCGUGGGGAGCAAACAGGAUUAGAUACCCUUGUAGUC
RNAcentral lists this ribosomal RNA (440 nucleotides) under uncultured bacterium. Its description in RNAcentral is "partial 16S ribosomal RNA". It matches the Rfam family "Bacterial small subunit ribosomal RNA", at positions 338 to 795 of the family's 1533-position model. The record is from RNAcentral.